RNAcentral lists this ribosomal RNA (274 nucleotides) under uncultured bacterium. Its description in RNAcentral is "partial 16S ribosomal RNA". It matches the Rfam family "Bacterial small subunit ribosomal RNA", at positions 523 to 796 of the family's 1533-position model. The record is from RNAcentral.
AUACGAAGGUCCCAAGCGUUAUUCGGAAUCACUGGGCGUAAAGAGUACGUAGGCGGUUUGGUAAGUCAGGUGUGAAAUCCCGGAGCUCAACUCCGGAACUGCAUCCGAUACUGCCAGACUUGAGUAAUGGAGAGGCAGGUGGAAUUCUCGGUGUAGCAGUAAAAUGCGUGGAUAUCUAGAGGAAGACCAAUGGCGAAGGCAGCCUGCUGGACAUUUACUGACGCUCAGGUACGAAGGCUAGGGGAGCGAAAGGGAUUAGAUACCCUAGUAGUCC